GCCAUUAAGUGUUUGAAGUGUUACAGGCCAAAAUAGAAAAAAAUAGUAAGAGCAUAUUGGUAACCUCGACCGGUUAAGCAAAAAAGGCAGGAAAGUCAUUGGCUAGCCUUGUUAGGUGCUGACUAAGACUGUAGAUGAGCCAUUAAGUGUUUGAAGUGUUACAGGCCAAAAUAGAAAAGAAUAGUACUUUUUUUUUUUUUAACUGAUUUUGUUUAUCAAUAUACAUGCAUAAAUACUUUUUUUUUUUUUUAACUGAUUUUGUUUAUCAAUAUACAUGCAUUAAUACUUUUUUUUUUUUUUUUUUUUUUUUUUACUGAUUUAAGUGUUACAGGCCAAAAGAGAAAACAUUUGUAUGAGCAUAUUGGUAACCUCGACCGGUUAAGCAAAAAAGGCAGGAAAGUCAUUGGCGAGACUUGUUAGGUGCUGACUAAGACUGUAGAUGAGCCAUUAAGUGUUUGAAGUGUUACAGGCCAAAAUAAAAAAAAAAUUGUACUUUUUUUUUUUUUUUUUAAUGAUUUUGUUUGUCAAUAUACAUGCAUAAAUACUUUUUUUUUUUUUUUUUUACUGAUUUUGUUCAUCAAUAUACAUGCAUAAAUAGUAUUUUUUUUUUUUUUAACUGAUUUUGUUUAUCAAUAUACAUGCAUUAAUACUUUUUUUUUAACUGAUUUAAGUGUUACAGGCCAAAAGAGAAAAAGAUUGUAUGAGCCAAUGUAACCUCGACCGGUUAAGCAAAAAAGGCAGGAAAGUCAUUGGCUAGCCUUGUUAGGUACUGACUAAGACUGUAGAUGAGCCAUUAAGUGUUUGAAGUGUUACAGGCCAAAAUAGAAAAAAUGGUACUUUUUUUUUUUUUUUUACUGAUUUUGUUUAUUAAUACACAUGCAUAAAUACUUUUUUUUUUUUUUUUUUUUUUUUACUGAUUUAAGUGUUACAGGCCAAAAGAGAAAACAUUUGUAUGAGCAUAUUGGUAACCUCGACCGGUUAAGCAAAAAAGGCAGGAAAGUCAUUGGCGAGACUUGUUAGGUGCUGACUAAGACUGUAGAUGAGCCAUUAAGUGUUUGAAGUGUUACAGGCCAAAAUAGAAAAAAAUUGUACUUUUUUUUUUUUUUUUAAUGAUUUUGUUUGUCAAUAUACAGGCAUAAAUACUUUUUUUUUUUUUUUUUUACUGAUUUUGUUCAUCAAUAUACAUGCAUAAAUAGUUUUUUUUUUUUUUUUAACUGAUUUUGUUUAUCAAUAUACAUGCAUUAAUACUUUUUUUUUUAACUGAUUUAAGUGUUACAGGCCAAAAUAAAAAAAUAAUGUAUGAGCAUAUUGGUAACCUCGACCGGUUAAGCAAAAAAGGCAGGAAAGUCAUUGGCUAGCCUUGUUAGGUGCUGACUAAGACUAAGACUAAGAUGAGCCAUUUAGUGUUUGAAGUGUUA
This is a long non-coding RNA of Clupea harengus (Atlantic herring), 1418 nucleotides long. The record is from Ensembl. Lineage: Eukaryota; Metazoa; Chordata; Actinopteri; Clupeiformes; Clupeidae.